RNAcentral lists this ribosomal RNA (253 nucleotides) under uncultured bacterium. RNAcentral describes it as "partial 16S ribosomal RNA". It matches the Rfam family "Bacterial small subunit ribosomal RNA", at positions 524 to 776 of the family's 1533-position model. The record is from RNAcentral.
UACGAAGGGGGCUAGCGUUGCUCGGAAUCACUGGGCGUAAAGCGCACGUAGGCGGGGCGUUAAGUCGGGGGUGAAAUCCUGGAGCUCAACUCCAGAACUGCCUUCGAUACUGGCGACCUUGAGUCCGGGAGAGGUGAGUGGAACUCCGAGUGUAGAGGUGAAAUUCGUAGAUAUUCGGAAGAACACCAGUGGCGAAGGCGGCUCACUGGCCCGGUACUGACGCUGAGGUGCGAAAGCGUGGGGAGCAAACAGG